AGAGACAGCAGGAGCCACGGUAAUACGUAGGUCCCGAGCGUUGUCCGGAUUUAUUGGGCGUAAAGGGAGCGCAGGCGGUUUAGUAAGUCUGGAGUUAAAGGCAUUGGCUCAACCAAUGUAUGCUUUGGGAACUGUUUGACUUGAGUGCAGAAGGGGAGAGUGGAAUUCCAUGUGUAGCGGAGAAAUGCGUAGAUAUAUGGAGGAACACCGGUGGCGAAAGCGGCUCUCUGGUCUGUCACUGACGCUGAAGAGCGAAAGCGUGGGGAGCGAACAGGAUUAGAUACCCGAGUAGUCCCUGUCUCUUAUACA
This 309-nucleotide ribosomal RNA is filed under the name uncultured bacterium. RNAcentral describes it as "partial 16S ribosomal RNA". It matches the Rfam family "Bacterial small subunit ribosomal RNA", at positions 504 to 808 of the family's 1533-position model. The record is from RNAcentral.